RNAcentral lists this ribosomal RNA (205 nucleotides) under Clostridioides difficile. RNAcentral's name for it is "partial 16S ribosomal RNA". It matches the Rfam family "Bacterial small subunit ribosomal RNA", at positions 889 to 1091 of the family's 1533-position model. The record is from RNAcentral. Lineage: Bacteria; Bacillati; Bacillota; Clostridia; Peptostreptococcales; Peptostreptococcaceae.
CAAGAGUGAAACUCAAAGGAAUUGACGGGGACCCGCACAAGUAGCGGAGCAUGUGGUUUAAUUCGAAGCAACGCGAAGAACCUUACCUAAGCUUGACAUCCCAAUGACAUCUCCUUAAUCGGAGAGUUCCCUUCGGGGACAUUGGUGACAGGUGGUGCAUGGUUGUCGUCAGCUCGUGUCGUGAGAUGUUGGGUUAAGUCCCGCA